RNAcentral lists this unclassified non-coding RNA (391 nucleotides) under soil metagenome. RNAcentral's name for it is "partial contains 5.8S ribosomal RNA, internal transcribed spacer 2, and large subunit ribosomal RNA". The stretch from base 1 to 122 matches the Rfam family "5.8S ribosomal RNA", at positions 35 to 154 of the family's 154-position model. The record is from RNAcentral.
GAUGAAGAACGUAGCGAAAUGCGAUACUUGGUGUGAAUUGCAGAAUCCCGUGAACCAUCGAGUCUUUGAACGCAAGUUGCGCCCGAAGCCAUUAGGCCGAGGGCACGCCUGCCUGGGCGUCACACGUCGUUGCCCCCCCAUCUACUCCUUCGGGAUUGCGGGGGGCGGAUGAUGGCCUCCCGUGCGCCUCGUCGUGCGGUUGGCAUAAAUGCCAAGUCCUCGGCGACGCACGCCACGACAAUCGGUGGUUGCGAAACCUCGGUUGCCCGUCGUGUGCGGUCGUCGCGCAUCGAGGGCUCGAAAAAAUUGCCGGGCUCCGGCUCGGCUUUCAACGCGACCCCAGGUCAGGCGGGGUUACCCGCUGAAUUUAAGCAUAUCAAUAAGCGGAGGA